Gossypium arboreum is the source of this 566-nucleotide long non-coding RNA. RefSeq lists it as uncharacterized. The transcript is spliced from 2 exons. Lineage: Eukaryota; Viridiplantae; Streptophyta; Magnoliopsida; Malvales; Malvaceae. The record is from RefSeq and is a predicted model, not a curated record.
CAAAAUAAAUAAAGUCGGAUGAAGCAACCAUAAACAUCAGCACAAAAAUCAGAUUCUGAGGAACGAAAGAUGCUCUACAAGAAAUCAGCGGUCCAUUUGAUACUAGUCCUACUGCUAUCAUUUUCUUUACUCUGCCCUCCAUCUUCAACAACAAACACUCACUUAACAGUGAAGGAGAGGAAUGAAGUGAUACAUAGAAAUCUAGGUGGAGGAAAACCACCUUCAUGUCCUCCACGUUAUCCUGGUUGUCAUUCAAGUGGUGGUAGAAGUAAGACAUGCCCUCCUCACUGUUGGUAGCCAGAAGGAAAUUGUGUUACCAGGGCAACCCAAAUGAAUGGUUAUUAGUUAUGAUUACUUGUGAUUUUGUAUUCUUACGGUUUUCAUUUUUCCAAUCCUGCUUAGAAAAGCUUUAUAUAUUUCAAAUAAAUUUAGGAGGUUAAAAUUUUAUAUGAUGUGUAUUUUGAUAUAUUCAUGUAUUUAUAUUAUGUUUAAAAUAUUUAAUGGUUGUAAUGUAUGAAUAUGAGCUUUAAAGGCUUCAACCUUAAUAUUUAUAUGUGUUCAAUUAA